UGACAUUAAAACUCAACACACAGAAUGGUGCCGAUUGAAAUUUUAUAUGCCUCCCUUAGGGCAAAGAACAGAGCUGGCAAGCAAGUGUGAGAUGAAUAAUGAAACUCUAUCUAUCUAUCUAUCUAUCUAUCUAUCUAUCUAUCUAUCUAUCUAUCUAUCUAUCUAUCUAGUGAUAUAUUUAUGUAAAUAUCUAUCUAUAUGUCCUCCAUUCUGUCUGUCUUUCUAUAUUCUCAUUCUUUAUUUAAUAUGGAACUCUCUUUUCUUUCCCUGGUGUUCCUCUAAGUGAAACACUGGUGUGGAGGCAAUGGAACACCAAGAGAUCUGUGUGAGGUGAUAUUUAUAAAACACAGACAGACAAUCCAAAACAUGAUGCAAAGUCGAGAUCAGAAACAGAGCAGAGAUUCAGGUGAACAGCAAACCACGUACAACAGGCAAAAUCCAGAAAUUGUG
Molecule: long non-coding RNA, 450 nt
Organism: Ictalurus punctatus (channel catfish)
Lineage: Eukaryota; Metazoa; Chordata; Actinopteri; Siluriformes; Ictaluridae
Source: Ensembl